Molecule: ribosomal RNA, 320 nt
Filed under: uncultured bacterium
Lineage: Bacteria
Description: bacterial SSU rRNA
Rfam family: Bacterial small subunit ribosomal RNA
Source: RNAcentral
GACGAACGCUGGCGGCAUGCCUAAUACAUGCAAGUCGAGCGGAGUUAUGAUGGAGCUUGCUCCUGAUUAACUUAGCGGCGGACGGGUGAGUAACACGUAGGCAACCUGCCCUCAAGACUGGGAUAACUACCGGAAACGGUAGCUAAUACCGGAUAAUUUCUUUCCUCUCCUGAAGAGAGAAUGAAAGGCGGAGCAAUCUGCUACUUGGGGAUGGGCCUGCGGCGCAUUAGCUAGUUGGUGGGGUAACGGCCCACCAAGGCAAUGAUGGGUAGCCGGCCUGAGAGGGUGAACGGCCACAAGGGGACUGAGACACGGCCCUU